UACGACUACAUAUCAGGCAUAUCAAUAAGCGGAGGAAAAGAAACUAACUAGGAUUCCCUCAGUAACGGCGAGUGAAGCGGGAAGAGCUCAAAUUUGAAAUCUUCAAGGUUUUACCUUGACGAAUUGUAGUUUAAAGAAGUGUUUUCUGUUGGAGUUUUGGUAAAAGUUCUUUGGAAUAGGACAUCAUAGAGGGUGAGAAUCCCGUAUUUGACCAUUACUUUCCAGCUUUGUGAUACACCUUCAAAGAGUCGGAUUGUUUGGGAAUGCAGUCCAAGAUGGGUGGUAAAUUUCAUCUAAAGCUAAAUAUUGGCGAGAGACCGAUAGCGAACAAGUACCGUGAGGGAAAGAUGAAAAGAACUUUGAAAAGAGAGUUAAACAGUACGUGAAAUUGUCAAAAGGGAAGCGUUUGACACCAGUGUUGUUUCUACGAAAAAUCAAUUUAUGAUGGCUUGAUGCUAAGCUUUAAGACUUUAUCCGCUUGUUGUUUAGUUUUCUUGUCUUUGUGAAUGCACUUUUCGUGGAACAAGUCAACAUCAAUUUCUUUUGCUGUAAAAGGGUAAGAGGAAGGUGGCUUCGGCUUCGGUUGAAGUGUUUAUAGCCUUUUAUCUCUGCAGUCGGAGAGAUUGAGGUCUGCAGCGUAGACUCUUCGGGGUUAGAUACGUCGGUGCUAAGCUAUAGCUUUUCAUAGACAACUUGUUGACUAUGUUUAGUCAUGUGGCAUACCCGCUGGCGCUAUUUUACCUACGCUUAGGAUGUUGACUGAUAUGUAGUCGUA
RNAcentral lists this ribosomal RNA (775 nucleotides) under uncultured Neocallimastigales. RNAcentral's name for it is "partial large subunit ribosomal RNA". It matches the Rfam family "Eukaryotic large subunit ribosomal RNA", at positions 24 to 644 of the family's 3401-position model. Lineage: Eukaryota; Fungi; Neocallimastigomycota; Neocallimastigomycetes; Neocallimastigales. The record is from RNAcentral.